This 461-nucleotide ribosomal RNA is filed under the name uncultured bacterium. RNAcentral describes it as "partial 16S ribosomal RNA". It matches the Rfam family "Bacterial small subunit ribosomal RNA", at positions 338 to 795 of the family's 1533-position model. The record is from RNAcentral.
CCUACGGGAGGCAGCAGUGAGGAAUAUUGGUCAAUGGGCUUACGCCUGAACCAGCCAAGUCGCGUGAGGGAAGACUGCCCUAUGGGUUGUAAACCUCUUUUGUCAGGGAGCAACGCCGGCUACGUGUAGCCGGACUGAGAGUACCUGAAGAAAAAGCAUCGGCUAACUCCGUGCCAGCAGCCGCGGUAAUACGUAGGGGGCAAGCGUUAUCCGGAUUUACUGGGUGUAAAGGGAGCUUAGACGGCAGUGCAAGUCCGGGGUGAAAGCCCGGGGCUCAACCCUGGGACUGCUCUGGAAACGGUAAAGCUGGAGGGCGGGAGGGGCAGGCGGAAUUCCGGGUGUAGCGGUGAAAUGCGUAGAUAGCAGGAGGAACACCGGCGGCGAGGGCGGCCUGCUGGACCGUAACUGACGUUGAGGCUCGAAAGCGUGGGGAGCAAACAGGAUUAGAUACCCGUGUAGUC